Molecule: long non-coding RNA, 2411 nt
Organism: Ananas comosus (pineapple)
Lineage: Eukaryota; Viridiplantae; Streptophyta; Magnoliopsida; Poales; Bromeliaceae
Exons: 2
Source: RefSeq, a predicted model, not a curated record
CCCACAGCAAAACGGUUCGUGUGAGUCCACCACACCGCGAAACGGUGGCAUCGUUUUUAACUCCGACUCUUCGUAGCCCUCACCGUAGCCCUCACCCUCAUCUCACACUCCGCCGACCCUAAUUGUGAUCCUAGAUUUCUCGCCUUCGCCGCCUCUCCCACUCGGAUAGGAGCCUCCAUCUCCGCCUCUGCAUUCUCACCUCCUUCGCCUUUGCGACGCUACCAUAGGCCGUCGAAGAGGGUGAAAAGGCCAAGAGAGAGAGUGGAGAAGGAGAAGAGGAAGAAGAGGGAGGCGAGGGGAAGGUCGUGGAAGAGGCGAGGGGAGGGAGCCCGUGUGCUCUGUCAAAACGCUAGGCUCCUCUGUCGCCUUCGAUGCCGCGCUUUUGAGGCUUCAAUGAAUACUGCGACUCUCCAAUUCUUCUCCAAACUCUAAGGUUUUGCUCCUUGCCCAUUCCUUUCUCUCUAUAUCUUCAUUAUUUAGAUUUAUGUUAUAAUAUGUUUUAGUCAAUUAAGGCUUCAAGACUUGGGUCUUUUGCAUUAGAUUUCUCUAUUAUGGUUUGUAUUAGAUUUGUUGCUAGGAUUUCGAUCCUCCAUUAACGGUGAUUAUGCUUAAGUUUUUUUUUUUUAUUUUUAGAAUUUUGUCUUUUUUGUCGUAAAUUGGGUGAUAUGAAAAAACCUAUUGAGAGAGAGGAAUCGGCGAGUUUGGAGAAGAUGAUGUUGAUCAAGCCAACAUGGGGAAACAUAAGGAUCGGUAUAUCAUUUAUGGCGGCUCUGAAAAGGUACAAGAUUGUGAUCUCCAUGCCGUCGUACACGAGCGUGGGGAGGAAGGUCGUCAUAAGGGCAUAUGGCACAAAUUUGGUGUUGAAUGACCCUCCCAAGGGGUGGGCGGAACCCUGAAGAAAGCAUAUGAACUCAUUCUAUAUAGGUUAACAGAGUAAAAAAUGGGGCAGGAUUAAAGGCAAGCUAAAACAACAACAGCUUUGUGUUCUUCUAUUUUUAAUUGUACAUCCCGCCGCCUCCUCAUGCUCCAUCCCCCCUGCCCCUACGCCUUCUUCUCUGCCUCAUUGUUUCUGCCGUUUUUCGUUUUCGAUGUUGCUGGAGCUCUAUCUCCAUCCUUGGUCUCGAUUCGCUUCUAGGGUUUCUUUCUACAUCGAUCUCUUCAGACUUUUGGAAGAAGCAGCUAAUCUAACAACUUUUUCGAUAGCAGAUGCUAAUUGGACCACGAUCAUGUAAGAAUCGAGGAGGUAAGUAUUGGAAACGGAAAACCCUAAUCAUAAUUUUCUUUUUUUUGUUUUUAAAUCCCGAAUAUUUACUUUAUAUCGAUCUAGGAUUUGAUCUUUACCUAUGGGAUCUCAUAGUGAAUUUGUUUAAUUUAAGUGCCUUUUACGAGUGAUUUAUUAUACUUUGUUUUGAAUAGAAAACUCAAUCAAUCAUUGUAAAAAAAGAAUGCUAAGAGAUAAAACUUCUAGAGGACUUAUUCUAUGUGGGUAAUAUUUUGUGUGUUAGUUUUUAUAAGUAUGAUUUAAUAUUAAUUCAAAUUUUACAUGCUGAGAUUCAUCUUUUUCUGUUUAAUACAACCGCUUUCAAUAGAAAGACGAAUUAUGAUUUUGAAAUUAUUUUACAUGCAACUUUAAAAUUCUUGGGUUUGACUUAUUUUAUCAUUUGACUUGAUGGUCUUUUACUGGUAUAUAGCCUUUUUCCUAUUCAAAUCUAUAGAAUUGUAUUUAUUGUGCAAAUUCAAAGAUAGUCUAAAGAUUUAUUUCAGUAUAAUUAAGAAAAUAAUUAGCUGAUAAAGUAGGUUACUUGACUGAUUAAGUUUAGAAAGUUUGGGUAUUGUGGUCAUUGAAAAAGUGGAUUUUGCUUGAGCAAGGUUUGUUGGCUUCCUUAUACCAAGAAACUACGUAUGACCACAUGCUUAAGUGAUGUUAUUAGUAAAUACACAAGUGAACUCUAUGCAGGCAUAUUUUUAUUUCAAGUCAGAUGUAUUAUUAUUUUAUUGUUUAAGGUAUUUUGUUUAAUGAUGCUGUUUACAUGCAUGCAUGUAAAUUUGUUGCUGACUACCUCUGAUUUGCUCGCGCCUUUUUCUCUUUUAUUUGUUAAAUAUGCAAUAGUAAUGAAGCCAUCAUCAUCCAUUUUAGGGAUUAAUACAUUAAUGGAUUAAAUAGAUUGCUUAACCAAUUAUGGUGAAGAUUUCUCGCUUCACUUCUAGCUGUUAUUAAGUGUCUAUCUAAAGGCUUGAAGUAAUCCAUUUUUGCUCCAUAUAGAUGUUUUCUUUCUCUGGUUCUCUUGCUAGAUAAGUUAAUUAUGAUGUAAAAAGGAUUCAUUUACAAGAAGAAUGCAGUGUGUGGUCUGAGAAGUAGUCAUUUUACUUGUAUUUUCUAUUGUUUAGAGCAAGAAAAUUUUAUAUUUUUA